GAUGAACGCUAGCUACAGGCUUAACACAUGCAAGUCGAGGGGAAACGACAUCGAAAGCUUGCUUUUGAUGGGCGUCGACCGGCGCACGGGUGAGUAACGCGUAUCCAACCUGCCCAUCACUUGGGAAUAACCUUGCGAAAGUAAGACUAAUACCCAAUGAUAUCCCACGAAGGCAUCGGAAUGGGAUUAAAGAUUUAUCGGUGAUGGAUGGGGAUGCGUCUGAUUAGCUUGUUGGCGGGGUAACGGCCCACCAAGGCAACGAUCAGUAGGGGUUCUGAGAGGAAGGUCCCCCACAUUGGAACUGAGACACGGUCCAAACUCCUACGGGAGGCAGCAGUGAGGAAUAUUGGUCAAUGGGCGAGAGCCUGAACCAGCCAAGUAGCGUGCAGGAAGACGGCCCUAUGGGUUGUAAACUGCUUUUAUAAGGGAAUAAAGUGGGUCACGUGUGACUUUUUGCAUGUACCUUAUGAAUGAGGACCGGCUAAUUCCGUG
This 492-nucleotide ribosomal RNA is filed under the name uncultured bacterium. Its description in RNAcentral is "partial 16S ribosomal RNA". It matches the Rfam family "Bacterial small subunit ribosomal RNA", at positions 28 to 507 of the family's 1533-position model. The record is from RNAcentral.